This is a non-coding RNA of Phyllosticta capitalensis, 103 nucleotides long. NCBI's taxonomy places the organism in Eukaryota, Fungi, Ascomycota, Dothideomycetes, Botryosphaeriales, Phyllostictaceae. The record is from the annotation of a GenBank genome assembly.
GCGGGGAUGGUGUAGCUGGUUAUCACGUCAGUCUAACAUAUGGACUCCUGAGGAGGACGAUGUUGUGCACUGAAGGUCCCGAGUUCAAACCUCGGUUCCCGUA